GCUCAAAUUUAAAAUCUGGCGGUCUCUGGCUGUCCGAGUUGUAAUCUAGAGAAGUGUUGCCCGCGCUGGACCGUGUACAAGUCUCCUGGAAUGGAGCGUCAUAGAGGGUGAGAAUCCCGUCUUUGACACGGACUACCAGGGCUUUGUGGUACGCUCUCAAAGAGUCGAGUUGUUUGGGAAUGCAGCUCAAAAUGGGUGGUAAAUUCCAUCUAAAGCUAAAUAUUGGCGAGAGACCGAUAGCGAACAAGUACCGUGAGGGAAAGAUGAAAAGAACUUUGGAAAGAGAGUUAAACAGUACGUGAAAUUGCUGAAAGGGAAACGCUUGAAGUCAGUCGCGUUGGCCGGGGAUCAGCCUCGCUCUUUUGCGUGGUGUACUUUCCGGUCGACGGGUCAGCAUCAAUUUUGAUCGCUGGAAAAAGGCCUGAGGAAUGUGGCAGCUCCGGCUGUGUUAUAGCUUCUGGUCACAUACAGCGGUUGGGAUUGAGGAACUCAGCACGCCGCAAGGCCGGGUUUCGACCACGUUCGUGCUUAGGAUGCUGGCAUAAUGGCUUUAAGCGACCCGUCUUGAAACACGGACCAAGGAGUCUAACAUGCCUGCGAGUGUUUGGGUGGAAAACCCGAGCGCGUAAUGAAAGUGAAAGUUGAGAUCCCUGUCGCGGGGAGCAUCGACGCCCGGACCAGAACUUUUGGGACGGAUCCGCGGUAGAGCAUGUAUGUUGGGACCCGAAAGAUGGUGAACUAUGCCUGAAUAGGGUGAAGCCAGAGGAAACUCUGGUGGAGGCUCGUAGCGAUUCUGACGUGCAAAUCGAUCGUCAAAUUUGGGUAUAGGGGCGAAAGACUAAUCGA
RNAcentral lists this ribosomal RNA (846 nucleotides) under Leucocoprinus leucothites. RNAcentral's name for it is "LSU rRNA". It matches the Rfam family "Eukaryotic large subunit ribosomal RNA", at positions 107 to 938 of the family's 3401-position model. The record is from RNAcentral. Lineage: Eukaryota; Fungi; Basidiomycota; Agaricomycetes; Agaricales; Agaricaceae.